GGAUCCUUAACACACUGAGCAAGGCAAGGGAUCGAACCCGCAUCCUCAUGGAUCCUAGUCAGAUUUGUUAAUCGCUGAACCAUGAAGGAAAUUCCCUCAAGCCUUCAAAUUUUAAAAAGGAAACGUCCUGGACCAGGCCCACCUGUCAGUGGAUGUGGGAGGAAGGAAUGAACACAUUCCCUUUGGAGUCUGACCAGAACCAGGAAAUGCUUGACGUUUGUUACUCCCUCCCCUUUCAGAAGAAAAGAAAA
Non-coding RNA from Sus scrofa (pig), 251 nucleotides. The record is from RefSeq and is a predicted model, not a curated record. Lineage: Eukaryota; Metazoa; Chordata; Mammalia; Artiodactyla; Suidae.